GAGUUUGAUCAUGGCUCAGGACGAACGCUGGCGGCGUGCUUAACACAUGCAAGUCGAACGGUGAAGCCUUUCGGGGUGGAUCAGUGGCGAACGGGUGAGUAACACGUGGGCAAUCUGCCCUGCACUCUGGGACAAGCCCUGGAAACGGGGUCUAAUACCGGAUAUUACCGUCUUCCGCAUGGUGGAUGGUGGAAAGCUCCGGCGGUGCAGGAUGAGCCCGCGGCCUAUCAGCUUGUUGGUGGGGUAAUGGCCUACCAAGGCGACGACGGGUAGCCGGCCUGAGAGGGUGACCGGCCACACUGGGACUGAGACACGGCCCAGACUCCUACGGGAGGCAGCAGUGGGGAAUAUUGCACAAUGGGCGAAAGCCUGAUGCAGCGACGCCGCGUGAGGGAUGACGGCCUUCGGGUUGUAAACCUCUUUCGCCAGGGACGAAGCGCAAGUGACGGUACCUGGAUAAGAAGCACCGGCUAACUACGUGCCAGCAGCCGCGGUA
RNAcentral lists this ribosomal RNA (496 nucleotides) under uncultured bacterium. RNAcentral's name for it is "bacterial SSU rRNA". It matches the Rfam family "Bacterial small subunit ribosomal RNA", at positions 9 to 522 of the family's 1533-position model. The record is from RNAcentral.